GCGUCCACUUCCGCCUCCCUUCCACUUCCGCUUCCGCUCGCUAAGUCCCGCCUCACCCCUCUAAUUGGCCGACGAGCCGGAAGAGCCGUCUGUGAUUAGGGGAACGCAGCGCGCCAAACUUUCCGAUUGGCGGAGAGAACGCAGGGGGAGGCCUCUGAUUGGCGGAGCCUCGCUUCGCUCCGCCCACCGCGGAGGUAUAAAAGGGACGGAGCGGCGUGGGCGCCGCCAUUUUGUGGCUGAGGUGAGGCGGGGAGCGGAGGGGCGGGGGCGCGUUUAAAUCGAUAUUUUAACGGUUUUUAAAGCGAUUUUUGAUAUUUUACCGGUUCCUCCCGUUCUUGGCGGGGCCCGGCGACGCCGUGCCGGGGCCUGUAAUGUUUUGGGAGGAAGAGCAGCGACCGGCGCGAUGUCUGCGGUGCCCGCGGUGUCCCGUCCGCCGGUCCUACCCUCGCGCGCCGGGACAAGGCCCCGCCCGGGACCAUCCGGUUCCUUCGGGGGGAGGGGGGAGUCCGGUGCCGCCGUUUUAACGCCGUUUUAACGCCGUUUUCUCCUCCCACAGGGCCCGCCGGGGGACGGAGGUGACAUCGGGGGACGCGGGGUGAGUGUGGGGGGGUGUGUGUGUCCGGUUGUGCCUCGUUAAGCCUUAAUAAAGUCGUUUUCGCACCCGCUCGCCUCGUCUCGUCCGUCCGUCCGUUACCGUACACGAGGCCUCACGGUUGGGUUGAAGGGGGAGGGGGGGGGACGCUGCGUGGUUGUGGGGAACAAUAAAGGCCCUCCACGCCGCCCGCAGUGCGAUGGGGGGGGUCCUCAGGGUGUCCCCGCAGCCGUUAAUGACGGGGGGGGUGAAGCGGGAGCUCAUCGCAGCCUCCCCAGGUCACCGGCGCCGGGACCCGCCGGUGGGUCCUCCAGCUCGGUUCUCCAACCGCCCCGUCUCUAUGGUAGCGGAGGGGCAGGGAGUCCCGGAAGUAGGCAUCUCUAUGGUGCGGGAGGAGCAGAGCGACACCCGGAACUGGCCGUCUGUGAUAGAGGCGCAGAGUACCGGAAGUCGCUAUCUCUAUGGUAACCGGCCGGGCAGAGAGUCCCGGAGGUGCCCGUUUAUGACGGCGGAGGAGGAGAGUACCGGAAGUGGCCAUCUCUAUGGUGCCGGAGGGGUAGAGCGGUACCCGGAAGUGCCCGUCUCUAUGGUAGCGGAGGCGCAGAGCGGCACCCGGAAGCCCGGCCAUGGAGGCGGCGCGGCGCUGGGCCCGGGCGCUGCUGCGGGGGUCGGUGCCGGUUGGGGCCGGGCUCCUGCUCUGGGUGGCGGUUGGAGCGGGCGAGGAGCGGCGCCACGAGACUCUCAAGGCCCUGCCCGAGGUCAGCCCCGAGCUCCUGGCCCAGCGGCGGCGGCACAACGAGCUGGUGAUGGCGGCGCUGCGGGAGGCGGCUCAGACCGACGACAACGUGGCGCGGCGGCCGGUGCCUUGGCGGAAGUGACGUCAGAUCCACCGGGACCCCCCCCGUUCACCCCCCCCUCCCCCCGAUAAACCGGCUCCUCGUUUUCCCCCGGAACCUUUCUCUCGGCGCCGCGUUGCAGCCCGGACCCUUUUACUCCGUUGCACACGGAGCGCUGUUGCGCACGGCCCUUUUUGGCGGUUGCACGCGGCCUUCCCUUCCGGCGCCGCCAUGUCGGGCCCGGGGCGGGCGGAGGCGGCAGCUCCGGCUCCGGUGAAGCCGCUGUUCGGGGGGUG
This 1724-nucleotide long non-coding RNA is filed under the name Calidris pugnax (ruff). RNAcentral describes it as "lncRNA (ENSCPUG00000000329.1)". The stretch from base 326 to 463 matches the Rfam family "Small nucleolar RNA SNORA57". The record is from RNAcentral. Lineage: Eukaryota; Metazoa; Chordata; Aves; Charadriiformes; Scolopacidae.